RNAcentral lists this ribosomal RNA (648 nucleotides) under uncultured Basidiomycota. RNAcentral describes it as "eukaryotic LSU rRNA". The stretch from base 268 to 421 matches the Rfam family "5.8S ribosomal RNA". The record is from RNAcentral. Lineage: Eukaryota; Fungi; Basidiomycota.
CAUUAUUGAAUGAACUUGGUCGGGCUGAUGCUGGUCCCAAAAUGAGGGGCAUGUGCACGCCUGCCACCAUCUUCUUUUUACCACCUGUGCACCUUUUGUAGACUUUGGGACAACCUUUCCGAGGUUCAAACUCGGUUGAAAGGGCUGCUGAUGCCUUAAAAAGGCCAGCUUUCCUUUGCCUGUCUUCUGGUCUAUGUCUUUUUUCACAAAUGUAUGACAAAGAAUGUUAUGUUGACAGGCAUCAUCAUUGCCUUUAAAACCUAAUACAACUUUCAACAACGGAUCUCUUGGCUCUCGCAUCGAUGAAGAACGCAGCGAAAUGCGAUAAGUAAUGUGAAUUGCAGAAUUCAGUGAAUCAUCGAAUCUUUGAACGCACCUUGCGCUCCUUGGUAUUCCGAGGAGCAUGCCUGUUUGAGUAUCAUGAAAUUCUCAACCUUGUUUGCAUAUGUGAUCAGGGUUGGAUUGUGGGAGGCUUGUUUGCAGGCUUCAAUUGAAGUCUGCUCUCCUGAAAUAUAUUAGCAAAAGUUGCAUGAUCAGCUUUUUAUUGGUGUGAUAAUCAUCUACGCCAUGGGCUGUGAAAGCGAGUUUGCCUUCCAAUCAUCAUCAUCAUUUCAUGACUUUUUGAUCUCAAAUCAGGUAGGACUACCC